UUCAACCUAUUUCAGCCAAAAUACCAAUUUUCUGGGGAAAUUUAAAAACUUAUGGCCAAGACUCCCCAAAAUGCAACCAACUUGUUUUUUGUCUUUUAUGUUGCUAACCCAAUUACCCAACCAAACCCUAAUCUCCCGCUUCCCUCUCAAUUAGUUGUAUACACACUUCCCCCAAUUGAGAGAGCAUAUAAGCCCCAUUGAAGAACUUAAGCUCUCUUCCACAAGAAGGAAAAGGUCAAGUCAAAGGUCUAAAACAAACUUCGCUGACUAUCAAGUCGUGUAAAAGGCAUUUAGACGGUUAAAACUGGGUUUCAGGCUACUUCAAUAAGCAAUACAGGUAAAUUUGAAACUAUAGACCAGAUUCUUAGCACAGAAAAAGCUCAUUGCCCGUCUCAAUAAGACUAUAACCAAAAGAUUGCAUCCUCAAUACAUGUCUUUGUCAGAUUUAUUCUACUGUCUUUCCGCCAAUGGUGAUAAUACUUGUAUCAGCAUAAACUUACCUGCAGGUUAUAGUAUAAGCCUGAAGGCCUUCAGGGACUCAAUCACCAACAAGUCAACAACCCUCUUGUUUCCCUAUCUGACCGUAAUGACAACAGCCAACACUGCAAUGCAGAGCUGAGUGCAACUGGACUGUGAUAACCUGCAACCAGUUUACAUUAUUCUACAAGCAAGGUUGUACCAGAAUAAACUUUCUGCAGUCCCCAAGUCAUUAAUGUAAGUUAUUAACACAUUUGGAGAUCUUACUGAGUGAGCUAAGUGAGAAAAUACCUUCAGAUAUUCGCUCGAUACUGUCCCUAGAGAUGUUAAUGAUGCACUCAAACAAUUUCACAGGUUCAGUUCUUUGACCAACCUGAAAAACAUUAUAGACUUCUCAGCAUGUUUUAGCUUUAUCACAAGAGACCAGAAGAGAGAUACCAUCUGACAUUGAAAAGCUUUCUAGCUUGAAGAACCUUAGCUUGAACAGUAAUCUACUGGUUACUUCUCCCUAAUAUAAAAAUUGCACACACCUUUUUGUGGUAAGCUUAACAUAUUAAGUGGUGAAAUCCAAAAAGAUUUAGGGAAGUUGUUGAUCAUUACAUUCUUUGUGUUGAGAAACUCCACGUUUGGAAAUAAACGAGAUGAUUUGUUU
Molecule: long non-coding RNA, 1129 nt
Organism: Beta vulgaris subsp. vulgaris (sugar beet)
Lineage: Eukaryota; Viridiplantae; Streptophyta; Magnoliopsida; Caryophyllales; Amaranthaceae
Exons: 2
Source: RefSeq, a predicted model, not a curated record